GGGAAUGUGGCUUAGUGAUAGAGUGCUUGCCUAGCAUGCAUGAGACCCUGGGUUCGAUUCCUCAGUACCA
Molecule: transfer RNA, 70 nt
Filed under: Dipodomys ordii (Ord's kangaroo rat)
Lineage: Eukaryota; Metazoa; Chordata; Mammalia; Rodentia; Heteromyidae
Rfam family: tRNA
About the family: Transfer RNA (tRNA) molecules are approximately 80 nucleotides in length.
Source: Rfam by way of RNAcentral